This 259-nucleotide ribosomal RNA is filed under the name uncultured bacterium. RNAcentral describes it as "partial small subunit ribosomal RNA". It matches the Rfam family "Bacterial small subunit ribosomal RNA", at positions 26 to 288 of the family's 1533-position model. The record is from RNAcentral.
AGGACGAACGCUGGCGGCGUGCUUAACACAUGCAAGUCGAGCGGAAAGGCCCUUCGGGGUACUCGAGCGGCGAACGGGUGAGUAACACGUGAGCAACCUGCCCCUGGCUCUGGGAUAGCCUCCGGAAACGGGGAUUAAUACCGGACAUUCUCCUUCUUCCGCAUGGUUGAGGGUGGAAAGUUUUUUCGGCCGGGGAGGGGCUCGCGGCCUAUCAGCUAGUUGGUGGGGUAACGGCCUACCAAGGCGACGACGGGUAGCC